UACGUAGGGGGCAAGCGUUGUCCGGAUUUAUUGGGCGUAAAGAGCGUGUAGGCGGCCAUACAGGUCCGUUGUGAAAACUGGAGGCUUAACCUCCAGACGUCGAUGGAAACCGUAUGGCUAGAGUCCGGAAGAGGAGAGUGGAAUUCCUGGUGUAGCGGUGAAAUGCGCAGAUAUCAGGAAGAACAUCCGUGGCGAAGGCGGCUCUCUGGGACGGUACUGACGCUGAGACGCGAAAGCGUGGGGAGCGAACAGG
This 253-nucleotide ribosomal RNA is filed under the name uncultured bacterium. RNAcentral's name for it is "partial 16S ribosomal RNA". It matches the Rfam family "Bacterial small subunit ribosomal RNA", at positions 524 to 776 of the family's 1533-position model. The record is from RNAcentral.